Molecule: ribosomal RNA, 466 nt
Filed under: uncultured bacterium
Lineage: Bacteria
Description: partial 16S ribosomal RNA
Rfam family: Bacterial small subunit ribosomal RNA
Source: RNAcentral
GAUGAACGCUGGCGGCGUGCUUAACACAUGCAAGUCGAACGGAAAGGCCCCUGCUUGCAGGGGUCCUCGAGUGGCGAACGGGUGAGUAACCCGUGGGUGCUCUGCACUGCACUUCGGGAUAUGCUUGGGCAACUGAGUCUAAUACCGGAUAGGACGUAGGGUUGGUUGCUAUUGUGGCAUGUUUUUUCGGUGUGGGAUGAGCUCGCGGCGUCUCAGCUUGUUGGUGGGGUAUUGGCUUACCAAGGCGUCGGCGGGUAGCCGGCCUGAGAGGGUCUACGGCCAAAUUAGGACUGAGCUACGGCCCAGACUCGUACGGGAGGCAGCGGUGGAGAAGAGUGCACUAUGGGCGCAAGCCUGAUGCAACGACGCCGCGUGGGGGAUGACGUCCUUCGGGUUGUAUACUCCUUCCGCUAGGGACGAAGCGAAAGUGACGGUACCGGGAGAAGAAGCACCGGCUAACUACGUG